CCUACGGGAGGCUGCAGUAGGGAAUUUUCCACAAUGGACGAAAGUAUGAUGGAGCAACGCCGCGUGCAGGAUGAAUGCCUUCGGGUUGUAAACUGCUUUUAUUUGUGACGCGGUAGCAAAUGAAUAAGGAUCGGCUAACUCCGUGCCAGCAGCCGCGGUCAUACGGAGGAUCCAAGCGUUAUCCGGAAUUACUGGGCGUAAAGAGUGCGUAGGUGGCAUUGUAAGUCGGUAGUGAAAGCGUGGGGCUCAACCCCAUAAACGUUAUCGAAACUGCAAGGCUAGAGGAUGAGAGAGGUUAUUGGAAUUCCCAGUGUAGGAGUGAAAUCCGUAGAUAUUGGGAGGAACACCGAUGGCGUAGGCAGAUAACUGGCUAAUCCUGACACUAAGGCACGAAAGCGUGGGGAGCAAACGGGAUUAGAUACCCCUGUAGUC
Molecule: ribosomal RNA, 432 nt
Filed under: uncultured bacterium
Lineage: Bacteria
Description: partial 16S ribosomal RNA
Rfam family: Bacterial small subunit ribosomal RNA
Source: RNAcentral